UGUUUUGUCCUCGUGAAACUCAUGUUGAGU
RNAcentral lists this non-coding RNA (30 nucleotides) under Mus musculus (house mouse). Lineage: Eukaryota; Metazoa; Chordata; Mammalia; Rodentia; Muridae. The record is from RNAcentral.